RNAcentral lists this ribosomal RNA (185 nucleotides) under uncultured eukaryote. RNAcentral describes it as "partial 18S ribosomal RNA". It matches the Rfam family "Eukaryotic small subunit ribosomal RNA", at positions 1299 to 1458 of the family's 1831-position model. The record is from RNAcentral.
UGGUGGAGCGAUUUGUCUGGUUAAUUCCGUUAACGAACGAGACCUUAACCUAUUAAAUAGUUGUGCUAAGCGUUCGCUAUGGGGGCGGCGUUGGGUUCCGGUGCGUGGGCUUCGGCUUGCGUAUUUUGCAACUUCUUAGAGGGACUAUCGGUGCUUUCAACCGAUGGAAGUUUGAGGCAAUAACA